AUGCCCAGAGCACAGCACAGAUACUAAAACUGGAACGACGCGAAGAAGUCUAGCAUGGCCCCUGCACAAUGAUGCCACACAAAUGUGUGAAGUGCUUCAUUAUUUU
This 106-nucleotide small nuclear RNA is filed under the name Chinchilla lanigera (long-tailed chinchilla). The record is from RNAcentral. Lineage: Eukaryota; Metazoa; Chordata; Mammalia; Rodentia; Chinchillidae.